This 254-nucleotide ribosomal RNA is filed under the name uncultured bacterium. RNAcentral's name for it is "partial 16S ribosomal RNA". It matches the Rfam family "Bacterial small subunit ribosomal RNA", at positions 524 to 776 of the family's 1533-position model. The record is from RNAcentral.
UACGGAGGGUGCGAGCGUUGUCCGGAAUCACUGGGCGUAAAGGGCGCGUAGGUGGCGCGAGGAGUCUGUGGUGAAAGCCCGAGGCUCAACUUCGGGUCGGCCGCGGAUACUCUCGUGCUGGAGGGUGGUAGAGGCCAAUGGAAUUCCGGGUGUAGCGGUGGAAUGCGUAGAGAUCCGGAAGAACACCGGUGGCGAAGGCGGCAUCCUGGACUGGUCCUGACACUCAGGAGCGAAAAGCGUGGGGAGCGAUCCGG